GACGAACGCUGGCGGCGUGCUUAACACAUGCAAGUCGAACGGAAAGGCCCUGCUUUUGUGGGGUUCUCGAGUGGCGAACGGGUGAGUAACACGUGAGUAACCUGCCCUUGACUUUGGGAUAACUUCAGGAAACUGGGGCUAAUACCGGAUAGGAGCUCCUGCUGCAUGGUGGGGGUUGGAAAGUUUCGGCUGUUGGGGCUGGACUCGCGGCUUAUCAGCUUGUUGGUGGGGUAGUGGCUUACCAAGGCUUUGACGGGUAGCCGGCCUGAGAGGGUGACCGGGGACAAGGGGACUGAGAGACGGACCAGACGCCAACGGGAGGCAGCAGUGGGGAGUAUGGCACAAUGGGCGGAAGCCUGAGGCAGCAGCGCCGCGUGCGGGAUGACGGCCUUCGGGUUGUAAACAGCUGUCGCCUGUGACGAAGCGGGAGUGACGGUAAUGGGUAAAGAAGCACCGGCUAACUACGUG
This 468-nucleotide ribosomal RNA is filed under the name uncultured bacterium. RNAcentral describes it as "partial 16S ribosomal RNA". It matches the Rfam family "Bacterial small subunit ribosomal RNA", at positions 28 to 507 of the family's 1533-position model. The record is from RNAcentral.